This is a regulatory RNA element of Pseudomonas sp. M47T1, 101 nucleotides long. It matches the Rfam family "Pseudomon-Rho RNA". NCBI's taxonomy places the organism in Bacteria, Pseudomonadati, Pseudomonadota, Gammaproteobacteria, Pseudomonadales, Pseudomonadaceae. The record is from Rfam.
UUCGGCCUCGCACUAGUAUCUCUAGUGCCCCCUGCAAGCCGUCGCCGACGCACUCCUACUCGAAUUAGUACGCGAUCCUGUCGCCUUCUCUGCGGCGCGGC